Molecule: ribosomal RNA, 492 nt
Filed under: uncultured bacterium
Lineage: Bacteria
Description: partial 16S ribosomal RNA
Rfam family: Bacterial small subunit ribosomal RNA
Source: RNAcentral
AGUGAACGCUGGCGGUAGGCCUAACACAUGCAAGUCGUACGGCAGCACAGUAAGAGCUUGCUCUUACGGGUGGCGAGUGGCGGACGGGUGAGGAAUACAUCGGAAUCUACUUUUUCGUGGGGGAUAACGUAGGGAAACUUACGUUAAUACCGCAUACGACCUACGGGUGAAAGCAGGGGAUCUUCGGACCUUGCGCGAUUGAAUGAGCCGAUGUCGGAUUAGCUAGUUGGCGGGGUAAAGGCCCACCAAGGCGACGAUCCGUAGCUGGUCUGAGAGGAUGAUCAGCCACACUGGAACUGAGACACGGUCCAGACUCCUACGGGAGGCAGCAGUGGGGAAUAUUGGACAAUGGGCGCAAGCCUGAUCCAGCCAUACCGCGUGGGUGAAGAAGGCCUUCGGGUUGUAAAGCCCUUUUGUUGGGAAAGAAAAGCAGCAGGUUAAUACCCCGCUGUUCUGACGGUACCCAAAGAAUAAGCACCGGCUAACUUCGUG